RNA transcript from Jatropha curcas, 2362 nucleotides. It is a transcript of the gene named U2 snRNP auxilliary factor, large subunit, splicing factor, with no coding region annotated. The record is from RefSeq and is a predicted model, not a curated record. NCBI's taxonomy places the organism in Eukaryota, Viridiplantae, Streptophyta, Magnoliopsida, Malpighiales, Euphorbiaceae.
AUUACGAUUUCCAGGCACCACCAUUCCUUGCAUAAAUACGGGAACCCAAUUCCGUGCCCUAGAAUUCUCCAAUUUCUUCGAUUUUGGAUUCUGGGUCUCAAGCUCACAGGUUAAAUCUGGUAGUGACCAUAAAACAGCUGAACCAGAGCCAGAAAAGAGGACACAGCGAGAAUAAUAAUAGUGAUUAUAAUAAUAAUAUCAAUCUAAUCCAAAUAUGACUGACUACGAAGGAAGAAGUUACGACGGUAAUGGUGCGGACUUCGAACACGAUAACUAUGGCUCUGCUCGUGGUGGCUCCUCCCCCCAGCCUCGAGCUAGCAGCCAUAGCCAUGGCGGCGCCGACGAUCACAGCGAUUCCAAAUCUCAGCAUGGGUCCCGUGAGCAUGAGAGAGAGUCAUCAAGAAGUAGGGAAAAGGAAAGAGAGAAAGGGCGGGAUAAGGAAAGGGAUCGAGACAGAGAUAGGGAUCGUGAGAGGGACAAGAGUAGAGAGAAGAGCAGGGAUAGGGAAAGAGAUCGGGAAAAGGACCGUGACCGUCACCACAGAGAUCGUGAUCGGCACAGAGACAGAGAUCGGAGUGAAAGGAGGGAACGGGGUAGAGAUAGAGAUGACGAUGAUUAUCACCGAAGCCGAGACUAUGACAGGGACAGGCGGAGAGAUUACGAUAGGGACAAAGAAGACAGACAUAGGCAUCGAUCACGAUCUCCUUCAAGGGGUAAAUCUGAGCGCAGAUCCAAAUCCCGCUCCCGUUCCCGCUCACGGUCAAAGAGCAAACGGAUCAGUGGUUUUGAUAUGGCUCCUCCUCCAUCUGCAAUGUUGGCUGGUGCAGCUGCAGCAGCUGCUGCUGCAGGUCAGAUUCCUGGGACAAAUCCUGCUAUUUCUGGAAUGUUUCCAAAUAUGUUCCCUUUAGGAACUGGUCAGCAGUUUGGUGCUCUUCCUGUUAUGCCAGUUCAAGCAAUGACACAACAGGCUACCAGGCAUGCUCGGCGGGUAUAUGUUGGAGGACUUCCCCCUACUGCUAACGAACAGUCCGUAGCAACCUUUUUUAGCCAAGUUAUGGCUGCAAUUGGGGGAAACACUGCUGGUCCUGGUGAUGCUGUUGUGAAUGUCUAUAUUAAUCAUGAAAAGAAGUUUGCAUUUGUGGAGAUGAGAUCUGUUGAGGAGGCCAGUAAUGCAAUGGCUUUGGAUGGGAUUAUUUUUGAGGGGGCACCUGUCAAGGUGAGGAGACCUAGUGACUAUAAUCCUUCUCUUGCUGCAACACUUGGUCCAAGCCAGCCCAAUCCCAAUCUGAACCUGGCUGCAGUUGGUUUAACCCCAGGCUCGGCUGGUGGACUCGAGGGUCCAGACCGCAUAUUUGUCGGUGGACUUCCUUAUUACUUCACAGAGGCACAAAUCAGAGAGUUAUUGGAAUCUUUUGGGCCUCUACGGGGUUUUGAUCUAGUUAAAGACAGAGAAACUGGGAACUCAAAAGGAUACGCAUUUUGUGUUUACCAAGAUCUUUCAGUUACAGACAUAGCUUGCGCUGCCCUUAAUGGAAUCAAAAUGGGUGAUAAAACUCUCACAGUCAGGCGUGCCAACCAGGGUGCUAACCAACCUAAGCCUGAGCAAGAGAAUGUACUAUUGCAUGCACAACAGCAGAUUGCCUUGCAGAGACUUAUGUUACAACCUCUUCCCACUAAAGUAGUAUGCCUGACUCAAGUUGUUAAUCCGGAUGAACUUAAAGAUGAUGAGGAAUAUGAAGACAUCUUGGAAGAUAUGAGAACAGAAGGCGGGAAAUUUGCCUUUUGUAGUCCCACAUUCUGCUAUAAAGAAUCAGGCCUAACAUACACAGACAGAAGACUUCAUUAUCCCCUAUUUAUAUUUGCUUGAAACUCUUUUCCUUUUUUCUUUAAAAAAAAUCAUUGAUUUGAAAAAUCGCGGUUUGCAUAUUUUUACACCUUAUAUGCAGGUACGUUGGUGAAUGUUGUUAUCCCACGCCCAAAUGCAGACAGUGAAGCUUUACCAGGAGUCGGGAAGGUGUUCUUGGAAUAUGCAGAUAUAGAAGGUGCUACAAAAGCCCGAGCAGGGAUGAAUGGGAGGAAAUUUGGUGGUAAUCAAGUUGUGGCUGUUUAUUUUCCAGAGAACAAGUUCUAUCAGGGAGAAUAUGAUGGCUAAACACUCAGAUUUAGCAUGCAUUUACACUCUCCUGUCCUAGGUCCUUACAAUUAGAACCAGAUGGUUUGCUAAAUGUUAUUGAUGAUAGCUCAAGGUUUUUCCUUGUUAUUCUUGUUUUUUUCUCAGUUGUUUUGUUAAUUUGAGUUGUAAUAGAUAAGGAUUAGUAUUUGAACCCAGUUCUAAUGAACAUUUUGUUUUUUCUAGAAGUAA